Molecule: ribosomal RNA, 248 nt
Filed under: uncultured bacterium
Lineage: Bacteria
Description: partial 16S ribosomal RNA
Rfam family: Bacterial small subunit ribosomal RNA
Source: RNAcentral
GACAGAGGGUGCAAACGUUGCUCGGAAUUACUGGGCGUAAAGGGCGUGUAGGCGGGAAGGCAAGUCGGGCGUGAAAUCCCCAGGCUCAACCUGGGAACUGCACUCGAAACUGCCUUUCUUGAGUGUCGGAGAGGAAAGCGGAGUUCCUGGUGUAGAGGUGAAAAUUCGUAGAUAUCAGGAGGAACAACCGUGGCGAAGGCGGCUUUCUGGACGAUAACUGACGCUUGAGAACGCGAAAAGCGUGGGGG